Cannabis sativa is the source of this 2343-nucleotide long non-coding RNA. RefSeq lists it as uncharacterized. NCBI's taxonomy places the organism in Eukaryota, Viridiplantae, Streptophyta, Magnoliopsida, Rosales, Cannabaceae. The record is from RefSeq and is a predicted model, not a curated record. The transcript has 4 exons.
ACGUUAACUCCAAAAAAAAAAUAAAAAUAUAUUAAAAUUAAAACGAUAGUAAGCCUAAUUUCCUAAAAAAUUGUAAUUUUUUUAUUAUUUUUUAUGAAAUUAUAAGUUUGAUAUAUGGUGAUGAUGAAACUAAUUCCACUAAAAUCUUAAGUUUGUUGAUGGCAAUGAGAAAAUUAUGAUUUCUUUAUUGAAAAAAAUGGUGAAAUUCGUAGAUGUAUAUUUCUUUUUUGUAGGACUUGUACUCUAUCUUUGGCUCCGAAUCGGAAUGAGGACGAGGAAGAACUAGAAGAUUACGCUCAUCUGUGUGAGUGGAGGAGCACUACUACAAAAUACACUUUUAGUGUCAGUUUGAGUUUCGUUUAAUUUAAAAAACUGACACUAUAGAGUAUCUUUAAUUUUUGGUGUCGGUUUAAAACUGACAUUUAAAAAGUAUAAUAGUAUCGGUCAAUAAACUGACACCAAAGCCAAAACUGAGACUUAAAAAAUUUAAAAAGAAAAAAUUAAAAACAAAAUACUCCUUUGGUCUCAAUUUAAAACUGACACUUAAAAGAAAUUAUAAAUCUUAAGUCUCGGUUUUAAACCGAGACCAUAGAGGAUAUAAAAAUCAAAACCUUUGGGCUUGCAAAAAAUUAAAAUAAAAGCGGGAUGCUUUGCGAAAUAUUAAGGCGGUAAAAAAAAGUUUCGUCUCUUCAAUUUCAAAGAAAAACAAACAUAUUAUCUCAUAAGCUUAUCAUUCUCAAUUCUGGUUUGCGGAAUAUUAAGGCUGUAAGAAUUUUUUUUUUCAAUUCUCCAUCUUGUUUUUGCUCUGGUCUUUAACUCUAAUCUCAUUCCUGCUUCACUCUCUAUUUGGUCAAAAGAUCCAUGAGACAAAGGAAGGAACAAUUUUUCGAAUUUUCCACUGAAAUCUGGUAUGUGUAUAUGUUUAGAUUUAAGUUUUGGAUCUUCCUUUGUCUCCAUUACUCUGGUAGGGUUUUAAUUUUUUAUGGAUAUUUUUGCCCAAUAUUCUAUAGAUUUGAACUGUAAUAAUCUUUCUCAUCGUACAUAUUAUAAAUCUUUUUCUUGUUCUUUAUUUCUGUUUCAUGAAUUUUGCAUAUACAAAACUUCAUUGUACGUUCAUUGUUAGUGUAUUUCAAGUUUUAAUUUUGGAUAUUUAUUGUGUUGAUAUUGAUUUGAUAUUUCUUCGGCAACUUUGACUUUACUUAACACUGGAAGGAUCAGCAGCAGUGGAUUAUAUACAACUUAUGAUUAAGAAGGUCUAGGACAGGUGUCCUUCUCUCUGUCAAUUGAAGAUCCCUAGAUUGAUUUAGCCGUUAUUCUUGUAAUGAUGUGGCAAUGAUUGCAUUUGUACAAUUUAUUCCUUGUUUGUUACAAUUUGCCUACAGCUGUAACCAAGCCAUUGGCUUUUCUCUGUAUUGGUCAUUAUCGACCCUGCUUAUAAAUAUAUUCACUCAGUCUCUUGAAUUAUUGAGCUGAGAUUUCACAAAACACUCUUGCAUUAAUUUUCACUGAGAUCACUAAUUCUUUUUAAUUCUUCUAGUCAUGUGUUUGUUUCCUGAGAAAAAAGGACUAGAAAGAUAUAGAAAAUUUAGUUUUGGAACAUUGUGUUUGUUGCAUGUUGUAGGAAAUUAGAAAAAGUAAAGAAAUUUGAGUAAAAAAUUUGUGCUUUUCAUUUUCCUCUGUUGUUUGAUGAUUCAUUCUGUUGCUCAAUAUCAUCAUUUUGAGUUAUCAUUAGGAAAAAGGGAAAGGAUUUUAUCUGAGUUUAUUGAGUGAAAGGAAUGAUCUAAUAUUUAAAGAACUGAUUUUUGUUUUCUUUUUUUAAGUUUCAUGUUUGCUUGUAGAGAAUUUUUGGUUCUGGCUGGAUUCACUUCUUAUUAGCUUAGGUUGAUCAGCUGGUAAUGCUGUAAAUGUCACUCUUUGCUUUACAUGAAGAAAGCUGAUGACAUAGUAAUUGGCUCACAUCACUUAUCGACUUAAAAGUAUGUGUAAAGCAUGUAAUAGUUUUUGUACUAAAACGGAAUUGGAGCAAUGAGAUUGAAGAAUGAAUGCGAUAUCUUCACAAAUUAAUGUGGAGCUCCGAACAUAGAAGGGAUAUAUUAAUGAUAAUCAAGCAUUGCAAGGAGUUUUUACCGGUUCUAGUCAAAUGUCAACUUCUUGGAUUGAAUGUUGGCAAUGCUUUUGAAGCUACUAAUUGAUUUAAUUUUAUUAUUUAAGUUUGUUAUGUAAAUCAUUAGCAGUGAAUAAAUAAGUUUAUAAUUUUGUGUGAAAUAAGAGUAGUCUUUUUAUUAUAUGUAAUAUAUACUGUAAAUAAUAUUUUCAUUUUUUUUAGUUCUUUUGAUUUUAGUA